GCCAUGGGUUCUCUGGGUCGAUGUAGUUGAUUCAUCUUCUUGAUGCUUUACGUGGUAGACUGCGUUAUCAUGGUCAAGGAAAAAUGCAUGUGUACUAUUCCCACAUAUACUGUAUCUCCUUGUUCUAAUUGCUUUGGUCUCUAUCCAACUAUGAAAUGCAAUAGUUGUAAACACAUACAUCUACAUCGUCUAGCAAUUAUAUCGGUCAUUCUAAUGAUCAUACAACAAUAACAAUUGGUCAUAAUAUCCCAGCUAGGCUUAAUAGUUGUCUACAAUUUCUGAUGAACACGCAAUGCUCUAUGAACUAAUCACCUCAUAAUAGUAUGUGAAAUAAACUGGCUAUUUAAGCUAGAAAUGAAGAUGUUUGUAUACAGCUUCUUUGAUUAGUCAAAGAAAUAUGUGUUUUAUGGUCCAAAAAUGAAACCAGCUGAAUAAUGACAACAACAAAAAAAACAAUAAAAAUAAUUGUUAUACUCUGGAUUAGAUGCAAAAGGGAUGUCAGAAAACUGUCCUUCUAUAGUAUACUUUGAAUCUUAAGCAUGAAUUGUCCUUCGAUUGUUACAUCUGCAUAUAAAAUAAUACAGAGCUCUAAAGGAGGACAGCUAUUUGCAUGAUCGAUAUCGACAAUUGAUUGCAUACCUUGACGGGUGAUCUCUCCUUUGCUGCAACGCCUGCUGUCAUUGCAAUCGAUAUGGACAAUUGGAUACAUACCUUUAAAAGAUCACCUCGAUGCAAUAAACCUGCC
RNAcentral lists this long non-coding RNA (745 nucleotides) under Musa acuminata (dwarf banana). Its description in RNAcentral is "long non-coding RNA (MACU_LNC004322)". The record is from RNAcentral. Lineage: Eukaryota; Viridiplantae; Streptophyta; Magnoliopsida; Zingiberales; Musaceae.